ACGGGAGGCAGCAGUGGGGAAUACUGCACAAUGGGGGAAACCCUGAUGCAGCGACGCCGCGUGAACGAUGAAGUAUUUCGGUAUGUAAAGUUCUAUCAGCAGGGAAGAUAAUGACGGUACCUGACUAAGAAGCACCGGCUAAUACGUGCCAGCAGCCGCGGUAAUACGUAUGGUGCAAGCGUUAUCCGGAUUUACUGGGUGUAAAGGGUGCGUAGGCGGCAUGGUAAGUCAGAAGUGAAAACCCGGGGCUCAACCCCGUGACUGCUUUUGAAACUAUCAAGCUAGAGUACAGGAGAGGAAAGCGGAAUUCCUAGUGUAGCGGUGAAAUGCGUAGAUAUUAGGAGGAACACCAGUGGCGAAGGCGGCUUUCUGGACUGUAACUGACGCUCAGGCACGAAAGCGUGGGGAGCAAACAGGAUUAGAUACCCUGGUA
This 433-nucleotide ribosomal RNA is filed under the name uncultured Lachnospiraceae bacterium. Its description in RNAcentral is "partial 16S ribosomal RNA". It matches the Rfam family "Bacterial small subunit ribosomal RNA", at positions 341 to 792 of the family's 1533-position model. The record is from RNAcentral. Lineage: Bacteria; Bacillati; Bacillota; Clostridia; Lachnospirales; Lachnospiraceae.